AUCCAUCUGACGAGUCCCAAAUGGGACGAAAGGCGUGUCCUAUAU
Molecule: non-coding RNA, 45 nt
Organism: Schistosoma haematobium
Lineage: Eukaryota; Metazoa; Platyhelminthes; Trematoda; Strigeidida; Schistosomatidae
Source: Rfam